This 892-nucleotide long non-coding RNA is filed under the name Equus asinus (donkey). Its description in RNAcentral is "lncRNA (ENSEASG00005025178.1)". Lineage: Eukaryota; Metazoa; Chordata; Mammalia; Perissodactyla; Equidae. The record is from RNAcentral.
UGGGGCGGUUGCAACAUCCCCUCGCUCCGCCAGUCAAUAAAGGGUGCCCAUUGCAAAACUCAGCGGAGAAAUUAAGUGUUGUGUCAUCCUGCGGCCAGGCCCUGGGUGCCCCUUUCCUGCCCGGAGGCCUGGGUGGGGCCAGCUCCUCACUCUCGCCCUCCACGGCGGGCCUUGGAGAGCUGGGGUCGGGGUCAGCAGGGGGCUUCGGGGAGUGGGCAGGGUCCGGACCGCGCUCUGGGUCCACCCACGGCCAACCACUCUCAGGAGGGGCAGGUCCGUCCUCCUGGGUGCUCGGGCCCAGACGCGGGUGAGUCGACUCUUCUCUUGCCCCACAUCCAGGAAUCGGUCAGGAAGUCCUGUCGGCUCUCCCUUUAAGAUACAUCAGAAUCCAGCCAGGGUCCCCUCCACCUGCAACCAGGGGGUCAGAGCACCUUCUGUGGCCUCACGACUCCACCUUCCUCCGCUUGGCCCACUCCCCACGCGCGGCCGAGGGGCCCGUUGCUUCCAGAUAGGGCCUGUUGUCUGUCUUGUUCAUGAUGACCCCCGGCGCUCAGCCUGGGCCUGGCACACAGUAGGUAUUCCACAGAGAUGUGCUGAAUCCGUGAAGGGGUGGCAGGAGGGGUGACAUUGGUGCAGAUCGUGCCGCCGUGAAUCGCAAGCCCCCUUCUCCGGCUGGUGGCGUGCGGACGGUGCUAUGGGCACACUCCGCGGCCUGCAGGUCGCAGCUGGGGGGUCCUCCUGGCUGCCCUGUCGAGUGGCCCGUGCUGCCCAGCUCCCUGACGCGCUCACCCGGCGCUGGGCUGCUGUGUUCCCCUGCUUCUCAUCAGCCUCCUCCCCAGACCCGGAGCCCUCUGAGGACCGGCCCUCAUCUGCCUCGGUUCCACUGCUGUCC